GCGUUCCAGAUCAUAAAUCAUAAAGUUUCUAUUGUCAAUAUACCAAAUAAUGUAAAAUAAUAACAAAAAAAGGUUAAAAUGUACAUUUGCCUCCUUCCACCUCUCUAAAUCCGUGCUUUUCAUGCGCAAAUUGUGCAUUUAAGUCGACAAUGGCGAGCCAACAAAGGCAACGGAAUGGGAUGCGAAGUACUCGUUAUAUGGGAUAUGGAACAUAGGAUAUAGGAUACGUUGUGUGCUCCUGCUUCGGAUGCAGCCCAGCGAUGCAGAGUCCUUAUUGUGAUGCCUACUUUUACUUUUGUUCGGUGUGCAACUAACUGAGGGCGGUCGGGAGGCGUUUUGCUGUCAAGUCUUCGAGCUCGAAGCCCCUUAUUGGUGGUUGGUAGGGAGCAGUGUGGGAUUCGAGCUGAUGAAAACUACUGUAAGGAAAACUAGGUUUUACAACGUAACUGCGUUUUUUUAAAUAGGAUGCAAAAGCUUAAAACAAACCUUUGUAAAAUUUUAGCAAGCAUUAAAUUAUUUUAUAUUUUCAGCUGUUCA
Long non-coding RNA from Drosophila biarmipes, 537 nucleotides. RefSeq lists it as uncharacterized. NCBI's taxonomy places the organism in Eukaryota, Metazoa, Arthropoda, Insecta, Diptera, Drosophilidae. The record is from RefSeq and is a predicted model, not a curated record. The transcript has 2 exons.